UGUAUUCGGGGUCUUGCACCUCUUUCUUUCUGUGAGGCGUUGUUCUCCACUGGCGCAGAAGUCACUGAACUGAACAGAAUUAUGUAUGGAGCCUUUGGAAAAGGCUUACUUUCUCCUCCUGAGAAAUAGGAUCGUUGCCCUGUGGUAGUUUCUGUGUUCUGCCUUGACUGCUGGUGGUAGUGAGGAGGCGAGUGCCGUGCCCUCAGUGAGGCUGGGCCCUUGAAACUGGCUAUGUGCAACUGAUGGGGGGAUGGUUCUCUUCUUCUUUGUGGUGAUGGAAAUUUCAUUAUCUGCUUCAGACACGGGCAGCCUCCCCAGACAUGCAUGAACUGUCAAGAUCUCCUCCUUGUGCUUCUCCGAGCAAGAAGCCAACGCACAGAAGCAGACAUGCUGACUCUGAAGAGGACGAUGGAGGGAGAAAGACACUGCAAGAGCAUACUUUUCCAGAUGAGUCCAUUGAGGCAAAACUGGAAAGGUACAAGCACUACUGUCGGGAGGAACGAAAGCUCAGAAGACAUCCAGAGAAAAAACCUGCAAAGAGCUCGUCAGAGUCUAGACAAAAACAAGCUAAGCUCCACCCGAAGCACCACUGAAGCCUGCGUGCCUAAGGUCAGCAUUCAUAAAUGUUAUUCUCAACCUCUCUGAAAGAAUAUCUGUGAGCAAGCUUACGCUUCUGAGCCUCAAGUUAGAAUCCCUUUUGUGGGUCCAAAACACACCGUCUUUAUGCUGCUAAGCAUCAGAAGAGUACACAACUGUAUGGGGGAGGGCUGAAGACCUCUGGUCAUUGGGGGGUGUGCAAAAUACAGAGUGCCCUUCUUCUUCUGCAAAGCCAUAAGGGAAAGAGUGAAGGGAAAGAAAGGGAGAAUAGACAAAAUGACCGUACAAAUGGUAAUGAGAGAACAGGCACCAGACAAAGACAUGCCACACCGAAGGCUGCGGUAGGGCCAGGUGGCAGCACGAACAUGUUUGCCUUUUCAAAGGCAGAUCCUUUUCAGCCUUUUCAAGUGAAUUCGGAAGCUGCAUUUUAGGAGUAGUGUUCCAAAGAAUGCCCAGUUUGAAUGCUUAGGGAGUAGGGACACUCGAGGAUGAAGAGGGCUGCAGAGGACUAAGGCUAACACUGCUAAGCAAGAGUCGUUUGCAGGUUAGCUCACAACGUUCCGUUUGUAGCUUCUGGAAUUUCCUUCACUAACUUUUCACAUACUGGUAAUUGGAGGUGAAAACAUGUGUUCUUGCCUUGUGCAUUUCCUUAUUUUGCAUUUCCCUAUUUUCACAGCUGAACAUUAUUACAGACCAGAUGAAGGUGGAGCAGAGGACGUCCCAGUCCAGAAAACAAGGCGGUUCUGUGCAGAUAACAGCCCGCCUUUAAUUCCAAGUUCUGUCGCCCACCACCUUGGCAUGUAAUAAACCAUGUCAUGUAGUGCGGGUCUUUGUCUUC
Molecule: long non-coding RNA, 1435 nt
Filed under: Anas platyrhynchos platyrhynchos (common mallard)
Lineage: Eukaryota; Metazoa; Chordata; Aves; Anseriformes; Anatidae
Description: lncRNA (ENSAPLG00000025234.1)
Source: RNAcentral